RNAcentral lists this transfer RNA (63 nucleotides) under Amynthas conformis. Its description in RNAcentral is "tRNA-Leu1". Lineage: Eukaryota; Metazoa; Annelida; Clitellata; Crassiclitellata; Megascolecidae. The record is from RNAcentral.
AGUGUGUUGGCAGAAUAGUGCAAUUGAUUUAGGAUCAGUUUAUGGAUUUUAUACCACACACUA